RNAcentral lists this ribosomal RNA (429 nucleotides) under Fusobacteriota bacterium. Its description in RNAcentral is "Fusobacteria bacterium partial 16S ribosomal RNA". It matches the Rfam family "Bacterial small subunit ribosomal RNA", at positions 355 to 776 of the family's 1533-position model. The record is from RNAcentral. Lineage: Bacteria; Fusobacteriati; Fusobacteriota.
UGGGGAAUCUUCCGCAAUGGACGAAAGUCUGACGGAGCAACGCCGCGUGAGUGAAGACGGCCUUCGGGUUGUAAAGCUCUGUGAUCCGGGACGAAAGAGCCUGAGGUGAAUAGCCUAAGGAAGUGACGGUACCGGAAAAGCAAGCGACGGCUAACUACGUGCCAGCAGCCGCGGUAAUACGUAGGUGGCAAGCGUUGUCCGGAAUUAUUGGGCGUAAAGCGCGCGCAGGCGGCUUCCUAAGUCCAUCUUAAAAGUGCGGGGCUUAACCCCGUGAUGGGAUGGAAACUGGGAAGCUGGAGUAUCGGAGAGGAAAGUGGAAUUCCUAGUGUAGCGGUGAAAUGCGUAGAGAUUAGGAAGAACACCGGUGGCGAAGGCGACUUUCUGGACGAAAACUGACGCUGAGGCGCGAAAGCGUGGGGAGCAAACAGG